RNAcentral lists this ribosomal RNA (451 nucleotides) under uncultured bacterium. RNAcentral describes it as "bacterial SSU rRNA". It matches the Rfam family "Bacterial small subunit ribosomal RNA", at positions 354 to 796 of the family's 1533-position model. The record is from RNAcentral.
GUGGGGAAUUGUUCGCAAUGGGCGCAAGCCUGACGACGCAACGCCGCGUGGAGGAUGAAGACCUUCGGGUCGUAAACUCCUUUCGACCGAGAUGAAUUCCUCUCGACCUAACACGUCGAGGGGGUGACAGUAUCGAGGGAAGAAGCCCCGGCUAACUCUGUGCCAGCAGCCGCGGUAAUACAGGGGGGGCAAGCGUUGUUCGGAAUUACUGGGCGUAAAGGGUUUGUAGGUGGCUUGCUAAGUCAGACGUGAAAUCCCUCAGCUUAACUGGGGAACUGCGUCUGAUACUGGUGAGCUUGAGUGCAGGAGAGGAACGCGGAAUUCCAGGUGUAGCGGUGAAAUGCGUAGAUAUCUGGAGGAACACCGGUGGCGAAGGCGGCGUUCUGGACUGCAACUGACACUGAGAAACGAAAGCCAGGGGAGCAAACGGGAUUAGAAACCCGAGUAGUCC